Rosa chinensis is the source of this 459-nucleotide long non-coding RNA. RefSeq lists it as uncharacterized. The record is from RefSeq and is a predicted model, not a curated record. The transcript is spliced from 3 exons. NCBI's taxonomy places the organism in Eukaryota, Viridiplantae, Streptophyta, Magnoliopsida, Rosales, Rosaceae.
CUCCGAUUCUGUUAAUGAGAUUCCGGCACCAGUCCCUGAUCUUCGGAAUCACCGGCGACCGGCAGGCACAUCAAUCGGUGACGCUUCUCCUUCAGAUUGUUCCCCGUAGGCGACCUCCUUAUUUGGUUUCUCCUCCAGCUCCGGUUGUCCUCAUCUUCCUCCAGAACGUCGUUAAGAAUAUGACGGCUCGUGGUUGCGAGCAAGAAGCUUGUGGGAGGAGUUCCACAAACAAAUUGGAGUUUCCUGAUUUAAAAUAUGGACUGGAUGUGAGUGUAUAGAUCUGGACAAUGAGGGGACAAAGUUUAGCCUGGAACUCUUCUCCUUUGCAUUUGCAGUAGUAGAUUUCGAAAAUCAUAUGAAUUUGGAUAUUGAAGCCUCCAUUGACCAAGAGAUCAUUCAACCAACCAAGAAAUGCUAAAAUGAAGUCUCGCACUGAAGGUGGCAAAAUUAUGCCUAUGG